This 256-nucleotide ribosomal RNA is filed under the name uncultured bacterium. RNAcentral describes it as "partial 16S ribosomal RNA". It matches the Rfam family "Bacterial small subunit ribosomal RNA", at positions 521 to 776 of the family's 1533-position model. The record is from RNAcentral.
UAAUACGGAGGGUGCAAGCGUUAUCCGGAUUCACUGGGUUUAAAGGGUGCGUAGGCGGGCAGGUAAGUCAGUGGUGAAAUCCUGGAGCUUAACUCCAGAACUGCCAUUGAUACUAUCUGUCUUGAAUAUUGUGGAGGUAAGCGGAAUAUGUCAUGUAGCGGUGAAAUGCUUAGAUAUGACAUAGAACACCUAUUGCGAAGGCAGCUUACUACGCAUAUAUUGACGCUGAGGCACGAAAGCGUGGGGAUCAAACAGG